UUUAAGCACUUAUUUUUAACCUAAAAUGAUUAAAAAUAAAAAUUCAAAAGUCGAAUUCCUAACUUAUGACUUAUGUUUAAAAAUCACUUAAAAUAAGCCUAUCCAAACGGGAACAGAAUUUGUCUGAAGUCGCAAAAGUUGUAAAACUCAUUAACUGAUGCAACAUAUAUGAAAGAAACCUGAUUCACCAUUGUUAAAUUAAAUUGGGUACAAGUUAAUUUUUUUUCAAAAGUAGGUUCAGGUUAAAUAGCAGGGUGCAAAUAGAAAUAGGGUAUGGGGUGAAACUUUUACAUUACGAGAUCAACGCGGUGCCACUGUAAAAGUAACAUAUAUUACAGUGAAGAGUUCGAAAUUUCGAAACAGCUUCUCAGAGAAGGAAGAGAUGGCGGGAAAUGAUUCUUAGAAGCAAUUCCUAACAUCUAAUCCGCGACUUUGCAUCUGAAAAAUCUGAAGGAGAGCGAAGAAUAAUAAAUCUGAAGAAACGAAGUCAAAAGCUUCAAUUGGAGCUUGAAAUUGCAAAUGCUGAGUUCGAAGAGGCAAAACAUCAGAAGGAGUUUGCUGAGCAAGAGCUCAAAGGCUACGAGGUUGAAUUAGCCAGGAAUGAAUCUGCUAUUCAAGCCCUAGAGGAAAGGAUCGCUUUGAUUUAAGAUGAAUUAUCUGCUUAUGGAUCUGAAAUAGAGGCACUUAAGAGAUGGCUUCAUUGAGAAAAUGCUUGAACUCAACGCACAGAUAAGGUACUGUUUGUUGAACAGGUUCUGCAAAAACCAAAGCAGAAGAUGCUGAAGCUGUCAAAACUGACCUCCAGAAUAAGCUGGCUCAGAUAGUUCCCAGUUCACUAAGGAAGAAGAGGAAUACCAAGUAGAACAGAAUAUUCAUAGGCAGGCAAGUUAUUACGCUUUUGUUGAGCCUAACUGCUCUCAUUUCCUUUCUUCUGUUGCUGUAUUGUCUGGUUAUUAGUAUUAGGAGAACUUAGUAUGUUGAGCUGUGUGGUGUUUUUCAGCUUGAAGAGGAGUUGGGUGUUUCGGAGAGGAAAGCAUCACUGAUAGAGAGAAUCACAAAAGAACAUAAGGAAAUGCAGGAGUUAGCCAGAUAUCCUUAAAUCGUUAUUGUUUGGACUCGUCUACAUAUAGCUAAUUAUUUACUAGUUCACCUCAUUGGUGGAAGAGAAUGAAUUUGCAGUGGAUCUCAAAUUUUCAUGACACGUUCCACGUUUGCUGUUACAGUCUCGUAAUCUCCUAUUGUAUUACUGAGAAAACUCUUUCACACCUCAAAAUGACACUUAUGGAAUGAGCACCCAUGCUUUAGAUUUGUCAA
This is a non-coding RNA of Nicotiana tabacum (common tobacco), 1314 nucleotides long. NCBI's taxonomy places the organism in Eukaryota, Viridiplantae, Streptophyta, Magnoliopsida, Solanales, Solanaceae. The record is from RefSeq and is a predicted model, not a curated record.